Molecule: ribosomal RNA, 450 nt
Filed under: uncultured bacterium
Lineage: Bacteria
Description: partial 16S ribosomal RNA
Rfam family: Bacterial small subunit ribosomal RNA
Source: RNAcentral
GUGGGGAAUCUUCCGCAAUGGACGAAAGUCUGACGGAGCGACGCCGCGUGAGUGAAGAAGGCCUUCGGGUCGUAAAGCUCUGUCAUCAGGGACGAACGGCCGGUGGAGUGGAAAGCCACCGGAUUGACGGUACCUGAGAAGGAAGCCACGGCUAACUACGUGCCAGCAGCCGCGGUAAUACGUAGGUGGCAAGCGUUGUCCGGAAUUAUUGGGCGUAAAGCGCGCGCAGGUGGGAUCUUAAGUCCAUUUUGAAAGUUCGGAGCUCAACUCCGUGAUGGGAUGGAAACUGGGAUUCUUGAGUACCGGAGAGGAAAGCGGAAUUCCCCGUGUAGCGGUGAAAUGCGUAGAUAUGGGGAGGAACACCAGUGGCGAAGGCGGCUUUCUGGACGGUGUCUGACACUGAGGCGCGAAAGCCAGGGGAGCGAACGGGAUUAGAAACCCUAGUAGUCC